Molecule: ribosomal RNA, 253 nt
Filed under: uncultured bacterium
Lineage: Bacteria
Description: partial 16S ribosomal RNA
Rfam family: Bacterial small subunit ribosomal RNA
Source: RNAcentral
GACAGAGGAUGCAAGCGUUAUCCGGAAUGAUUGGGCGUAAAGCGUCUGUAGGUGGCUUUUUAAGUCCGCCGUCAAAUCCCAGGGCUCAACCCUGGACAGGCGGUGGAAACUACCAAGCUGGAGUACGGUAGGGGCAGAGGGAAUUUCCGGUGGAGCGGUGAAAUGCGUAGAGAUCGGAAGGAACAGCAGUGGCGAAAGCGACUUCCUGGACCAAUACUGACGCUCAUGUGCGAAAGCGUGGGGAGCAAACAGG